This 1030-nucleotide ribosomal RNA is filed under the name Staphylococcus pasteuri. Its description in RNAcentral is "bacterial SSU rRNA". It matches the Rfam family "Bacterial small subunit ribosomal RNA", at positions 56 to 1062 of the family's 1533-position model. Lineage: Bacteria; Bacillati; Bacillota; Bacilli; Caryophanales; Staphylococcaceae. The record is from RNAcentral.
UGCAGUCGAGCGAACAGAUAAGGAGCUUGCUCCUUUGACGUUAGCGGCGGACGGGUGAGUAACACGUGGAUAACCUACCUAUAAGACUGGGAUAACUUCGGGAAACCGGAGCUAAUACCGGAUAACAUAUUGAACCGCAUGGUUCAAUAGUGAAAGGCGGCUUUGCUGUCACUUAUAGAUGGAUCCGCGCCGUAUUAGCUAGUUGGUAAGGUAACGGCUUACCAAGGCAACGAUACGUAGCCGACCUGAGAGGGUGAUCGGCCACACUGGAACUGAGACACGGUCCAGACUCCUACGGGAGGCAGCAGUAGGGAAUCUUCCGCAAUGGGCGAAAGCCUGACGGAGCAACGCCGCGUGAGUGAUGAAGGUCUUCGGAUCGUAAAACUCUGUUAUCAGGGAAGAACAAAUGUGUAAGUAACUGUGCACAUCUUGACGGUACCUGAUCAGAAAGCCACGGCUAACUACGUGCCAGCAGCCGCGGUAAUACGUAGGUGGCAAGCGUUAUCCGGAAUUAUUGGGCGUAAAGCGCGCGUAGGCGGUUUUUUAAGUCUGAUGUGAAAGCCCACGGCUCAACCGUGGAGGGUCAUUGGAAACUGGAAAACUUGAGUGCAGAAGAGGAAAGUGGAAUUCCAUGUGUAGCGGUGAAAUGCGCAGAGAUAUGGAGGAACACCAGUGGCGAAGGCGACUUUCUGGUCUGUAACUGACGCUGAUGUGCGAAAGCGUGGGGAUCAAACAGGAUUAGAUACCCUGGUAGUCCACGCCGUAAACGAUGAGUGCUAAGUGUUAGGGGGUUUCCGCCCCUUAGUGCUGCAGCUAACGCAUUAAGCACUCCGCCUGGGGGAGUACGACCGCAAGGUUGAAACUCAAAGGAAUUGACGGGGGACCCGCACAAGCGGUGGAGCAUGUGGUUUAAUUCGAAGCAACGCGAAGAACCUUACCAAAUCUUUGACAUCCUUUGACCGCUCUAGAGAUAGAGUCUUCCCCUUCGGGGGACAAAGUGACAGGGGGUGCAUGGGUUGUCGUCAGCUCC